GAAGAGUCCACUUCACUUGGGACUCUUAAUUUCCUUAAUAUUCCAUGCAUUUUCUUCACCCCACACACCAUCUGUUGGCUUCUGGGAUAAUGUUGGCAUAGAAGUGGAGGAGUCCUUCUACUUGAAGGCUCUUUGACACCCAAAAACUUCUAUAUAAAAAUUAAACCUUUAUGGGAAGUAAUGGGACGUCGCUUGGGAUGUUGGUGUGCCAAACAUUGAUUCCUCUCUUAAAACCUCUUAAUUCUUACAUGCCUAUUUUUUUGGGACC
Molecule: long non-coding RNA, 268 nt
Filed under: Elaeis guineensis (African oil palm)
Lineage: Eukaryota; Viridiplantae; Streptophyta; Magnoliopsida; Arecales; Arecaceae
Description: long non-coding RNA (EGUI_LNC067176)
Source: RNAcentral